UACGUAGGGGGCAAGCGUUGUCCGGAUUUAUUGGGCGUAAAGCGCUCGCAGGUGGUUCGUUGCGUCGUGCGUGAAAGACCCCGGCUCAACUGGGGAGGGUCGUGCGAUACGGGCGAACUGGAGGCCAGUAGGGGGAUGCGGAAUUCCGGGUGUAGUGGUGGAAUGCGCAGAGAUCCGGAGGAACACCAGCGGCGAAGGCGGCAUCCUGGACUGGUCCUGACACUCAUGAGCGAAAGCGUGGGGAGCGAUCCGG
This 253-nucleotide ribosomal RNA is filed under the name uncultured bacterium. Its description in RNAcentral is "partial 16S ribosomal RNA". It matches the Rfam family "Bacterial small subunit ribosomal RNA", at positions 524 to 776 of the family's 1533-position model. The record is from RNAcentral.